This 123-nucleotide non-coding RNA is filed under the name Chromera velia. Lineage: Eukaryota; Chromeraceae. The record is from RNAcentral.
ACAUGCAUGAAAGAAGACAAAGAAGAAAAGGAAAAGAAAGAAAGAAAGAAAGAAUAAACAACUCUUUUUCAUUCAUUCGUUGCUGUUCUUUAGUUCCCUUAAAUAUUCUUCUUUUUUUCCUUU